GGAGCCUAGUAGAGUGGCAAACGGGUGAGUAACGCGUGGGUAACGUACCCUGAUCCUGGGAAUAACCCUCGGAAACGAGGGCUAAUACCGAAUGUGGCGAACGACCGGUUGGUCGCUCGCUAAAGGUGGCCUCUUCUAUGCUGCCGGGUUGGGAUCGGCCCGCGUCCCAUUAGCUAGUUGGUGAGGUAACGGCUCACCAAGGCCACGAUGGGUAGCCGGCCUGAGAGGGUGUACGGCCACACUGGCACUGAGACAAGGGCCAGUCCCCUAUGGGAGGCGCAGGCGGGAAUAGUUCACAAUGGGCGAAAGCCUGAUGACGCGACGCCGCGUGAGCGAAGAAGACCUUCGGGUUGUAAAGCUCUGUCAGGAGGGAAGAAGGCUCUACGGGUUAAUAGCCCGUGGAAUUGACGGUACCUCCAGAGGAAGCCCCGGCUAAAUACGUGCCAGCAGCCGCGGUAAUACGUAUGGGGCAAGCGUUGUCCGGAUUUACUGGGCGUAAAGGGCGCGUAGGCGGUUUGUUAAGUCGAAGGUGAAAUCCUCGGGCUCAACUCGAGAAUUGCCUUCGAUACUGGCAAACUAGAGUGGCGGAGAGGAAAGCGGAACUCUUGGUGUAACGGUGGAAUGUGUAGAUCUCAAGAGGAACACCGGUGGCGAAGGCGGCUUUCUGGACGCACACUGACGCUCAGGCGCGAAAGCGUGGGUAGCAAACAGGAUUAGAUACCCUGGUAGUCCACGCCAUAAACGAUGGGUACUAGGUGUCGGGGGUAUCGACCCCUCCGGUGCCGCAGUUAACGCACUAAGUACCGCGCCUGGGGAUUAUGGUCGCAAGGCUGAAAAUCAAAGGAAUUGACGGGGCCCCGAACAAGCGGUGGAGCAUGUGGUUUAAUUCGACGCAACGCGAAGAACCUUACCUGGGCUUGACAUGCUUGGGACAGCGCUGGAAACAGCGUCUCUCCUUCGGGAGCCCUUGCACAGGUGCUGCAUGGCUGUCGUCAGCUCGUGUCGUGAGAUGUUGGGUUAAGUCCCGCAACGAGCGCAACCCUCGUUACUAGUUGCCAUCAGUUCGACUGGGCACUCUAGUGAGACUGCCGGUGAUAAACCGGAGGAAGG
This 1110-nucleotide ribosomal RNA is filed under the name uncultured organism. RNAcentral describes it as "bacterial SSU rRNA". It matches the Rfam family "Bacterial small subunit ribosomal RNA", at positions 82 to 1173 of the family's 1533-position model. The record is from RNAcentral.